UAACUCCUCGGAUGUUCGUCAAUUGGAGAUGUCCCUGAGCCGAUAAUCUUUUAAACGGGGGUUAUCAAAUGACUGGUGUGCAUGUCCGUUUCACGGAAAGCCUAAAGGUCUGCGGUAGCCACCACCUUGAACUUCAGGGUUCAAGGGCUAACCCAAUAACGGCAUCUUUGGAGCUCU
This 177-nucleotide non-coding RNA is filed under the name Entomomonas sp. E2T0. RNAcentral describes it as "6S RNA". It matches the Rfam family "6S / SsrS RNA". Rfam says of the family: E. coli 6S RNA was the first non coding RNA to be sequenced, but its function was unknown until recently. It consists of 184 nucleotides that fold into an extended hairpin structure with a large single-stranded internal bulge. The record is from RNAcentral. RNAcentral also lists the same sequence under 1 other name. Lineage: Bacteria; Pseudomonadati; Pseudomonadota; Gammaproteobacteria; Pseudomonadales; Pseudomonadaceae.